RNAcentral lists this ribosomal RNA (354 nucleotides) under Triticum aestivum (bread wheat). RNAcentral's name for it is "partial small subunit ribosomal RNA". Lineage: Eukaryota; Viridiplantae; Streptophyta; Magnoliopsida; Poales; Poaceae. The record is from RNAcentral.
GUCCUUGGAGGCAACUUCAACAUGAUCGCUUCCGCUGCCGACAAAAACAACUCACGCCUCAACUUGCGCAUGGGGAGAUUCCAGUCCUUCAUGGCGGACAUGGAGCUGCGAGACCUUUACCUCCACGGUCGUCGCUAUACUUGGUCUAACGAGCGAGAUAACCCCACGCUAGUCCGAAUUGACCGUGUGCUCUGCACCCCCGCAUGGUAUGAAGCUAACCCACACUGUCUACUUUGCUGCCUUUCCUCCGCGGCCUCCAAUCAUUGCCCCAUCAUGGUAGAUUGCACAGCGAUCUCGCCCCGGCCGUGCCGGUUUCGCUUCGAGAGAUUCUGGUCUAAGAUGGAUGGCUUCUAG